RNAcentral lists this long non-coding RNA (36500 nucleotides) under Medicago truncatula (barrel medic). RNAcentral's name for it is "long non-coding RNA (MTRU_LNC005230)". The stretch from base 21153 to 21267 matches the Rfam family "MIR2593 microRNA precursor family". Lineage: Eukaryota; Viridiplantae; Streptophyta; Magnoliopsida; Fabales; Fabaceae. The record is from RNAcentral.
CAUAAGUCUACUCCCACUCCCAAUCCUCACCAUGUGGGAAUGGAAUAUUGGAGAUAUUAAUAGUUUUCGUUGGAUCCAAUGGAUGAAUUGGAUCAAACGGUGAAUCUUCUCCAAAUUCAACUGGCAUUGUCUUCCAAUAUAGAUUUGGUUCCCACUCUGCUUCUUUGAUAACCUUAAUUAUUUCCUUUGACACCAUUUCACUCCCCUCAGCAGAGAAAUGAAUUCCAUCACUAAAAAAUAACCAAAUCAUCUAAUUAAAUCAUUGAAAUGCAAAUUUGAUAUAUAUUUAUUAAUAUAGGGACAUACAUAUAUGAGAGCACACUUACAUGAAACAAACUUCUUUCCAAUCAUCUCUUCUCUGAAUUAAAGACCACAAAUCAAUGGCCUUGAUGUUCAUAUGACUACACAUAUUUAAAAGUGCAUCUGAAUAUUGUUUACGAACUUCAUUUGUCCUUAUUGCUUUCCCAAAUGCAUCACUGGAUUGAUUACAACAAUUUGUUUAUAUAUUACAGAAAAGUUAGGAAUUAAGAAUCUAAUUGGUUCUAGAAUUUUCUGUGACAUUAUAAUUAAAUUAACAAUAAAAAAUAGCAAACCAAUUGUAUGUAUUACAUGUUGCCUUCUGUUUGCUCGUCACCGAUGGGAGGACAACUGAGGAAUAUAAGGCGAGUCUUCGGUGAAUUUAUCUGUCAAUUUCAUUAGGAGUUGUGUCAAACUUACAUUCAAGAUCAUGAGAUAAAUGUUGAAUUUUAUGUACAAUAAUUUUUCAUCAGUUUCUUUUCUUUCUUUUUUACCAUACCACAAUGGUGUAGUUUCGGAAGGAAUUUACCAAAUUAAGAUAGGAAAAUGAAACUCAACUAUGACAAAUUUUACCUUUAGAUAAUUAGCAAUCUUACACAUAUUUUGAAUGUAUUCCUCCAAUCGUACAUGAGGACCGAGACCACUUGGAUGUGGAAGAUGAGAAUCAUUACCACCAAAAUACACAAUCGCCAAUGCUGGUUGGUCUCGUUGCUCAAUGGAAAUCUUUAUUAGAGAUGACCAAUAACACAAGGGUCAAUCAUUGUCGACAAAAUUUUAUAAUCACAUUCAAAUAUAAACAAAAACUUAUGUGUGUUGUGAACCUUAUUCAGCAAGAUCAUUAUAGUAUGUUUAAUACUAUGUAAAUCAAUAUAAUCUUCUCAAUUUGACAAAUAAAAAACCACUCAUUAAAAAAUUGAGAUAAUGCCUAAAAAUAUUGCAAAGGACAAUACUUGUAGAUCAAUACCUUAGGAAAAAUAUCAUCCACAACUUGUAGACCACGCGUUGAAUUCCAACCAGCAUAUCCCCGCAAAACUAUAUCAACCUACAUGGUGUAUGAUAAGUAAAAAAGUCGUUGAUUAAUGUACUACUUUCUCCGUUUCAAAAUACAUGUCCAUUUUAGAGAAAUUUUUUGUUUCAAAAUACAUGUCCAUUUCAUAGUUUAAGGAUACAUUUUGUCUAUUUUACCCUUGUCUACCAAUUAAUUGGAUUCUAGAUUUUCUCCACAAUAAUUAUUUUCCACUAAUAAAUGUUGACCCAAUUUUAAGCAGAUUUACUCAUGCACUCUCCCAAGAAAUUAUUUUCCCAUGACUACUGCACUCUAAUCCAUCGUAACUAACUACUCCUAAUUAAUUGGACUCUCUAAUUUGUUUAUAAAAAUUGAGUUUUUAUAAUUAAAACUACCGAAAAAAAAAUGGAAAACAAAGGAAAGUCUGUGAAAGUUGAAUCUCUGCACAAUGAAAGAGUUGAAGACUCUUUUUUCAAUUGAGUUUAAAAAAAAAAUUGAUAACCGAAGCAUGAUAAGAGAAGUUGAAAAAAAAUUGUAUUGGCAUGCUAUUUUCAAUACAUAACCGCAGCAAAAACAAUGUGAUUUACUAGAUGAACCAUAUGUAUUGGUAUUGUCAGUAUGUAUUGGUAUUGAAGGAUGAUUGAAUUUAAUUAAUUUUGGUAUUGGUAUUGAGAGUAAUUAUGAGAUGGGGUAAAUAAAUGUAAAAUGGAGGAAAUCAAAGACAAGGGUAUAAUAGGAACUUUUGUGUCAAACUAGCUUGUCCUUGGUUACUGCAAUUUCUCCAAAAUGGACAUGUAUUUUGAAACGGAGGGAGUAUUAACUACUCCUAUUAAUGGCACUUAUAAAUGUAACUUUACUCUAAUGCUCGUUGAGAAAGAGAAACAUGUGACUUCGUGUCUGGUUUAUAGACACAUAAAUGUAACAUUUUAUGUGUAAUAUUGUAAACUGAAUUGUAUUGUAGUAAUACUAGUACUAUAUAUAUUGAUUCUAAUAUCGAAAUCCUAAUUCAAUAAAUUAUAGCUGCUCUAUAGUCGUAGAGGUAUGCACCAUUGGUAGAACGGAUUUUUGUUUCUUGUUAAUCUUCUGUUACUAAUUGCUGUUCUAACAUAUUUUUUUUCGUAUGAAAAAAUCAGCUUGAGAGGAUGACAAUCUAGUCCAAUGGUAGGAAGACUUGUGGCUUAAAGAACAUCUACCGAGAUUUCUUGUCCGUAGAUGAAAACAAACACCACUUAAAUUUCACACAUAACUAUGUUAUAUUGGGUUCAAAUUCAAGUAAAAGUGUCCAACCUAAAUUCCAACAUUAUAAGUUGAGUUAACCCUUACGGACCACAAAGGGAUUUAUAUUUAGCUAUAAAUUUUCUCAAAAAGUACUUAAAAAAAGAGAUGGAUGUUACUACGGUUGUAAGAGGAAGGAAUUAGAGUACCUUACGACCGUACAAAUGAGCAAGAGUAGCUCCCCAACCUUCACCAUAAUGAUUGUAUUGAACAAUGGAAGAACCAAACAACACAAAUUUAGGCCUCAUUGCUUCUAACUUAUCUUAUUUCUCAAUAAACACAAAGAUACAAAUGAUGCGAGACUAUGCAUCAUGAGGCAGAGAUUUAUACUAGGUGGUUAUUAGUUUUUUACUAGCCACGUUUAAUUUUUUAUAAGCCACGUUAACCUUAAUUUAUUUGUAGUUUUGUUCAAUAAAAUUGGGCUUAAGAUCCAUACAGAUAGUUAUUAAUUUUUUAUAGACAUUUUUAUUUUGUAUAAGUCACGGUUUUCAUGGAAAGCCAGCUGCAACCUUAAUUUAUCUGUAGUUAAUUCAUGAAAGGAAGUAACAACAGGAUAGCAGUCAAUGAACGCCAACUCGCCAAUUAAAUAUGAUGAAUUUGGUAUUUUCCUACAAACAAUUAAAUAUAGAUGAAUUAUUUGAUACCCUUGUAACUGAAAGCUAUCGAAACGUAUCAAUAACAUUUUUAUAGUUCUUAUUCUUAAAGUUCAAAAUCCACAACAGCUUGUUGAUUUUUGGCUGAUUUCUAUGGUGAGAUGCAUGUAUAAGGUUUUAGCAAAAGUCUUAGCAAACAAAUUGAGGAAAGUGAUGGGAACUUUAGUUUCAAACUCUCAGUCAAUUUUUAUUAAAGGUAGACAGAUUUUGGACGGAAUUCUUAUAGCAAAUAAAGUAGUGGAUGAUACCUGAAGGUUAAGAAAGGGAGUUGUUAUUAUUUAAAGUUGGUUUUGAGAAAGUUUUUGAUUCGGUUGAUUGGAAAUUUCAGGAAAGAGUAAUGUUAAAAAUGAAUAUUCCUACCUUAUAGUGGAAAUGGAUCAUACAAUGUGUUAGCCAAACCCGACCUUGGGGGAGUGCAAGGUGCUCAACCAAGCCGGACCUCCAAAUAUUAUGGGCCUAAAAAAAAAAUUAAGUCUAAUAUCCACCCCCUACUUAAAUAAAAAAAAAAAUAUGUUACUUCUUUUUCUUUCUUCGGUACACGUUUUAAUUUUUUUAGACUCUAGUUCUUCUUUUUGGACAUAAAUCUGAUGCUAUCAAACUAUUCUCAAUUUGUACAAUCACUUUAUCAGUUAAUUUGAAAAGCUAUUUCAUUGAAAGAAAACAUUAUAAGGUGAAACCCAUGCAAAAGGGUUGAGCCACCGACUAUGAUAAUUGAAAGCAAAAGUAUGGUUAUUUGCUUUCAAACACCAAAAAGAGAAUAACUUAACCUUGUCCAAAAGUUGAUACAUAUGAUCUUCCUUUUGAUUAAAAAUCCUCUUGUUCCUUUCUUUCCAAAUUACCCACAUGCUCGAGAACCAAACCAACAACAAAGUAUAAUGAAGGGAUCUGGAAUAACUUCCUAACUAAACAAACUGAAUCAAAUGACCCAAUAUACAUGACGGAUCGGCUGAAGAUAUACCUAAUCAUUCACGAAUAAGAGACCAAAUAAUGCCCGCAAUAUAUCAAGGCCAGUCUACAUCUUCAGGGAAAGGCACGUUGGAGUAAUUAACAGUUGUCUUCCCAUCAAGAGAAACUAUAUCAUAAGGUGAAUCUUCUCCAAAUUCAGUUGGCAUUAGCUUCCAAUAUAGACUUGGUUCCCACUCUGCUUCUUUGAUUACAUUCAAUAUUUCCUUUGUUACUAUUUCACUCCCCUCAUUUGAUAGAUGAACUCCAUCACUAAGAAAUAAUCAAACCACCUAAUUAAAUUACGGAUAAACAAAUUUGAAACAUUAUAGUUUAGGUGCAAAUAAAUGAGACCAUACUUACAUGAAACAAACAUCUCUCCAAUCAUCUCUUUUCUGAAUUGCAGACCACAUAUCAAUGACCUUUAUGUUCAUCUCACGACACAUAUCCAAACAUGCAUCGGAAUAUAUUCCACAAUCUUCAUUUGUUCUUAUUGGUUGCCCAAAUUCAUUACUGGGCUCAUUCAAACAAUUUGUUAGAAAGUAUAUAUCAUCGUAGAAUAAUUAGGAAAUGAGAAUAUCAAAGGUUAUUACAUGUGAUGCUUCAUUUGUGCCUCAUUGAUUGGAGGAUUACUGAGAAAUAUAAUACGAGUUUUCUGUGAUAGGCUCUGUCAAUUAUUAGGAAUUAUGUCAAAAUUAACAUUCAUAAUAAAAAAAUUAACAAUAAAAACAAAAAUUUAUUAUUGAUUAUAAGAGGAAAUAAAAUAUGAGAUGAAAUUUAUACACAAAGUACAUAAGAAUUUCAUGAAGCAUGAAACUAUUCUUCAGUUUAUUUUUUAUGCAAUUGUGUCGUUUCAAAAGAAAUUAAUCAAAUUAGAGUUGUAAAAAAUAUUACUAAAAUAGGUUAUGUGAUAAUAACAAUUAGUAAAUAAGAAGAUGAAACUCUAGUAUGACUAUUUUAACCAUCAAAUGAUAUUGACACAAAAAUACAUUUUGACAUCAAUUUGGAUAGUUAUUGAAUUUAAAUAUGUGAUUAAUUAUGUUUAGAGGAUUGUUAAUGAAUAUAACAAUAACAAUAUAUUGCAUCUCAACAACCAUCCAUUGAACACAAAUACAUAAUGCACCAUGAUUUUGAUUUAUUUUUUUUAACUAUGUAUUCUAUGUACAUAACUGCAUAGAUAAACCCCUCAAGCUUUAUAAAACUUAAAUGGACUGCAAAUUCUUACUAAAAGUUUUAAUCAUGAUGAAUGUUUAAUGUUGAAUUCAAACAUAAGACUUUGGUAAAGUUAAAAGAGACAUGUGUCAUCUCUUUUAAACGUUAUUGUGUAUUUUGAAUAUCAUUAACUAUAUUUUCGGAUAUUCAAAAUAUAAAUAUAUUCAUUAAACAUUUUUUUAAGGAAUAUAUUCAUUAAACAUUUAAAUUGGGUUCUAAUAUACAUGAUUUCUAUAUGGAUAGCAAUCUUUUACCAUUAUAUGGAUAGCAAUCUUCCUCAUAUUUUCUAUGUAUUCCUCCAAUGGUACAUGAGGACCAAGACCACUUGGAUGUGGACGAAAAGAAUCAUUACCACCAAAGUAGACAAUCACCAAUGCUGGUUGUUCAGCGGCAUUCUGUAUUAGAGAUGAAAUAUAAAAAACAUUAAAACUUAUAUGUAUCUGUUGCAAAACUUAUUUAAUAAUUCUAGUCUCUAAAUAUCAUGAUUAUACUAUUUUAGACAACUAAAAGUGGGAGAGAAAAAAUAUCAGGAAACCACUUUAUUGCAAAAGGAAAAAAAUAUAAAAAAUCAAAAUCGCCCGUAGAAAAGUAAGGAUCAAAAUGGCUAUUACAAUACUUGAAGAACUGCAAUUAAGUUGCCUUCAACAUGCAUAUGUUCAAUACCUUAGGAAAAAUUCUAUCCAAAACUUGGAGAGCAUGCCUUGAAUUCCAAGCAGCAUAUCCCCUCAAAACUAUAUCAGCCUACAUCAAAUCAAUGUUAGGUUUUCCAAAAAAAAUUGUGACAGUGAUAUAAGUUUUAUAAUUUCUAAUAUUUGCCUAUAUAUGUGAUUAUCUAAACUCUUAUUUUUCAUAGGCAAUAUUUAAUUAUAAGUGAAAAAUUUAUAAGUACACCUUAUAUUUUGAAAGACCGAAGAGACUUUUGAUAUUCUAGAACAUAGAUUCGAACUCGUUUUUUUUCAUUUGGUGUGUGAUCUUGGUCACUAGACUCUUUUAUUUCGAAAAUGUACAUAACCAAUAAAACGUUACGGUAUUAAUAGUCAGAGGAAGAAAUAAUAAUACCUUACGAGCGUACAAGUGAGAAAGUGUAGCUCCCCAACCUUCAUAGUAACUGUAUUGAACAAUUGAUGAACCAAACAACACAAAUUUAGGCCUCAUUGUUGCUCCCCAACUGUGCAAUGGAAGAACCUUCUUUAUUGCUCCCCAACCUUCACCAUAAUAUGAUUGUAUUGAACGAUGGAAGAACCUCAUUAUUGUUCCUAACUUAUCUUAUCUCUCAAUAAACACAAUUGAUGAUUUUAUUUUUUAAUUUUGAUGAUUUUUGUGUAUUUAGUAGGGAGUUCGAUGAUUAAAAUAAAUUAAUUAGAUGGGAGAGAAUGAUUGUUCAAAAUAGAUAGAGAGAAAGUUACCAAAGAGAGAGAAUUGAAAGGUAGAUAAUCUGCAUCCCAUAACUUAUGAGUUGAAAUAAUUUUCUCUAUCUUCUCAAUGUUAUGAUCAGAUGGUGUAUUGUUUUGAAGAGAAGCACUGCAUCAGUUCAAGGAAGAUAAAUGGAUUAAUCAUUAACAUACUCAAGGCACUGAAAAGGUAUCAGAUGUGUAAACUAAUGGUGUAGCAAUUUUUUUGACAUAAGAAUGUGUUCUUGGAGGUGUGUUCACGAGGAGGAUCCAAGAAUCAUGCAAUCGAGUAGGUUUAGGAAAGCCGGAUGGAUCCGUAAAAUGGAACCACAUAUGCAAAUGAAUACAUUGAAAACAUUGAAGUCGUCCUCAAGUAUCAUAACGUUCGAGGAGCGGUCAAAUUUAGGCUCUUUUCACGGUGCCUAAUGGGAGCCUUGAAAUUAUGCAAAAGCUUGAGAGAAGAGUCCAUCGACUCUUGGGAGGAACUAUGUAUACAAUUCACGACCCAUUUCACUACAUCGAGAAGGCAAACCAAGAAGGUUGCGACCUUGAAAGCUAUCAUCCAAGGAAAGAGAGAGAAUGUUCGAGACUACAUCGAAAAGUUCAACAAAAAAAGUUGUACAUAUCCGAGGAGCGGACAAGAAAACGAAGUUGAACCAAUUGAAUAAGGGUCUCCGACCAGGAACCGAUUUCCUCAAAGCUGUAAGAUAGCUAAGACUACCUCAUCGAUUGGAAGAGAUUUCAGAUUCCUCCAAGACUAAAUCAUUACUUAAUAAAGCAAAACAACAUUGAAACCAAAACUUUAUUUUUCAUGAAACAUGAAAAGCUCAGAGGGGAAAAGCUGCACAAAGCAAGAAAGUUACCUAACGAUGCAAAAUUACAUUGCUGCCACUAGAUCACGAUAUUUCAGCCAAAUUGCUUUGAAUCACAAUAAACUUCACAACUUUACUGCAGGAAAUACAUCAUAAGAAAUCAAAUGAUCAAACUUGCAAAAUUGAAUGAACGAACUAGCAUUGAUAUGUCGAAAAUUAAUGAUAUUCCAACUAUAUCCACCAACUUGCAUUGAACUUGUACCGACAAAGUCAUAGUGUCUGACCUUUUCAAUUUAAUUUAGAAUUUUUCUUGCCUCAUCCCAUAUAUUUUGUUACAUCUAAAUUUACUUGAAAUUUCACAAUAAUACCAAAAUUACUCUUUCAUAUAAAUUUUUUUAAAACCUUGAUUUAUUGUUACUCUAAAUUAUCACCAUCUUUCACCAACAAACAAUCAUAGAUAUUCAAUCAAUUCCAAUGAAAGAUUAAAGAGUGAAUCAAAACGUCUUUUAUCCAUAGUCUAUUGCAUAUAGGUAAGUGAAUUUAUUUUUUAUUUAAUGAGGAUGAGUUUCUAUUUUUUUCUUGUUGUUCAACGUGCUGAUAUAUUAUGCACUCUACAAGCGACGAGUAUUUGAUGGUGCACCACGUGUUAACGCUAAUUAAAUUUAAGUAAACAUUCAUUUAAAUGUUGAUGUUAAGUUAAAUUCACUUUAAGUAGAUACAUGUAAACCAAAUUUGUACAUGUAAACUGAGUUUACAUGUACCCACUUAAAAUAAGAUUAAGUAGAGUGAUUAAACAAGGUUGAGGAGGUUAACGCAAAUUUCAGUUUAAGUAUGUACACCUAAAUUCAGUUUACAUGGUCUACUUAAACUGAGUUUACAUGACAUACUUAAACUGAGUUUUGGGUGAAUUUAAAAAUUAAAUUUUACUAAAGGAUAAUUUUGUCAUUUUAGGGUGUAACAAGAAUUAAAUAGGGUGUAACUAGAAAAAUUCUUUAAUUUACUGUAAAAUGUCUAGUAAUUACAGCUGAGUCGGUUGAAACAACAUGUUGUUAAAGUAACAUAUGUUGCGUAGAUGUGGCUUACUUGAACUUACAAAAGACGUAGUAUAGAAUUAUUCAUAGUAACAUAUGUCGGGUAAUUUUGUCAUUUUUAAUGUUUGAAUUAAUAUUGUGAGUGUUGUGGUAAUUUUUGUUAACUCCAACGAAGAGAUAAUGCAACCUAUGAGUUUAACAAUCAUUAUAAACUCAGACGAUUGAGAAAAUACAGUCUAUGAGUUAAAUACUCAUAGUAUUUAAAAUACAAAAUGUUCGCUCCAAGGAGGAGAUAAUUCAACUUAUGAGUUACGUACUCAUGGUAUUUUAAAAUGGACUUAUACUACUUAUGAAGACUUAUACUGGUAGUUGUUUAUUUUUUCUAUUUCUAUACACGUAUUAAUUUUUAUGCACAAGCUACGUUUACUUGUCCAAUCUAAUAUCUUUAAUUAUUGGAAAAAGAUAUUUUAACAACCAUUAUAGUACGACAAUAAAGUCAUAAUAUACAUGUACUUUUUGUUUUGUUUUAAUGAGAGAAAUGAUAUUUGAAGAAUCCAUUUUGCGAUAACUUUUGUGACAAUUUUUUCUCUCUUAUAUUCAUAUUAUUUUUUACUUUAUCUCUCUAUUGUUUUGGUUUUCAUGCAAAUACAUUUUUUUUCUUUGUAAAUUAUGGUUAUCAUAUAAAUUGUCAACCAAAUGGUUGUUUAAAUAACACUACACUUUAAUAAUUGUUUCCACCUAGUUUUGCGUGCAAUGCAUGAUUUUGGAAGGCAACAUAGGGUGUUGAUAUCCCACACAUCAUGACUCUUAAUUAUUUGUACAACUAUUUUAUGAUAAUUCUGUAGAGAAUUUUAUUUUUUUUCUUAGUUUUAUAAUUCAGAUAAAAAAAGGUUAGUAAUACCGAGUUGUCAAACAAUAAGAAAAACUUGCAACUUGUCCUCGUGCAAUUAAAAUAAAAGAUGGUUAAAUAUGUUUUUAAUCUCUACAAAAUCAUAAAUUUUUAAGUUUGGUUUCUAUAAAAUUUUAAUGGUAAUUUUAAUCCUCCAUAAUAUUAUAGUUUGUAAAAAUAGUCCUUAUUUUGAAAACUGUUUACAAAAAAUGGAUACUUUUAGUCUUCCAAAAUAGUCUCUAGAAAAUGCAAAGAGACUAAAAAUGUAUUUUUAUGUUUUUUGUCGGCCCUAGUUUUUUAGUGAGAGAAACUCCACCUUCUCACUAAGUUUUCUUUUUCUUUCAUUUAUCGAGAAUGAGUGGUUUUAUGUCAUCUUUUGACCUUGAAUCACCCAUUUGCAUCCUUUUUCUAUUUCUUUCAAUCUAAAUAAGUGAUUUCCACAUAUAAAGUCUUUCUUUUGUGCUUUUUUGUGAUUUCAUCAUCUGAGUGCGGCGUUGUGUUGUUCGUCGCUUGUGCGGUGUUUUUUUAUUUUGCAUCUUGUUGCGGUGUUCGUUUUGUUCCUAUUGAAAGAUAACUCCAGUCAAUCAAUUACAGAUUCAAUCAUCCGGAAGCAUGGGUGUUUUGAUGAUUUAGAUUUUAUCAUAUUAUUUAGUAAGCAUUUUGUCGUUGUAUACCAUUAACUUGAGUGUUGUGUUUGCAGAUUCACCAUUUACGUUUUUAGCGAUAUUGAUGAUGUUAUUGUUUCUGAUGUAUUCUAUCAAUUUGAAAGAAUGAAUAUCGUAUUGCUUUUGUAAAAAAAAAUGUUUUUUUUUUUUAAAACUAAAUUUAAAAGUUUUUAAUUGUCUAGGGGUUAAAAACAUAUUUAACUAAAUAAAAAAUGAUAUAAAAAUAAAAAAAGUUCCGUGAUAAACACUAUUGAAAUUCACACACAAUCAUGACGUUUCGAAUUUGAGCUCAUAUAAAAGUAACAAUGGACAACUUCAACGGCAAGUAAGCAAUUAAGACCAAACUUUAUGAAGGAAAAAAUGGAUGUAUGGUCAUGGAAAAUUUUAUAAUGAGAUGAUCCAAAUCCAUAAAACAUUUACUAAAGACCUUAUAAAAUGGCGAAAUAUAUUAAGCAAUUUACCCAAUCAUAUAUAGUCAGAGUUUACACUCACAGGUGAAAAGUGACACAGAAACUAACAUUUUUCUUUGAUCAGGCACAAUUCUAAAUUCAUGUUAUUCGUCGGUGGCGGAGCUAAUCGUGUUGAAUCCAUUUCACCAUUCCUAAAAAAUGUAGAUCAAUGUGGUCCUUUUCUUACCCAGUAUUAAUAAAAAUGAUCAUAUUGAAACCUAAAUCUUUUAUGAACCUUAUCGAGACUUUUCAAAAUUAUAGGACCAAACUUAAAAAUAAAAUAAAGUAUCCAUUAACUAGGGGUGGACAACGAACGGGUAGAAAGAGAAUGUAACCGUUUAAAGCUCUCAAAUUCCUUAACGAGACUCAAAUAUUCCAAAAUAUAAACUUGGUGAAAACCAUAACAGUUUAAAGCUCCUUAAGGAUUCUCAAAUAUUCUUCAAUUAGUAUAAAAAAUCAUCAUAACUAAAAAUGGGUAGAUCUAAAAUGUUGAAGAAAAAAAAGAAUGGACAUAGAGAGAGAAUGUAGAUCUAAAAAGAUGGUAGUACACUUGGUCCACUUAUAUAUAUAUAUAUAUAUAUAUAUAUAUAUAUAUAUAUAUAUAUAUACAUAGUUUUAAAAAUCGGACCGGUCAUCGACUCGGUCAUAUCACUAGGUCAAUGAAUCAUUGGUCGAACCACUGAGUCAUUGGUUGAACCGCAUGACUGAACCGUAUUAAAUCGGAUAACUCGGUUGUAUGACUCGGUCUCUAUUAAAAAAAAAAUUAUAACACUUAAAAAAGGAAAAACAAUAUUUUUAUAAAACACUUAUUAACAUUUUUCUUAAAAAAAAAGUGUGUGAAAUAUUUUUCUAAAAAAAAGUGUAUGAACUAUUAUUUGUUUUUACGGGAGGUGUAUAAAAUAUCUUUUAAAUGCAAGAAAGCCAACCUAAAGGUCCACUUAGUCAAAAAAAAAAAAAAAAAGCCCAUCUAAUAAUAAAAACCCUAUUACACUACUUUCCAAGAUGAAGUUAUGCAGCAGCCUCCCUCUUUCAAUUUAGUAGCCGCCACCCUCUCUCAUAUUUGAUCUCUCCCAUUUCUUUUCUUCAUUGUAACUAAGAUCUGGUGUAUACAAUUAUACCUCAUUUCUAAAUUUUCUUUCCAUGAACUAGAUGAGCUUGCUAUCGUGUUCCAUUCUCUCUUCUUUCCUGGUUUUUUCUGAUUUUUUUUUUAUCAAAUUGGAGCAGCUAUGCGUUGAACCGGUCUGGUUCAUCGAACCGGCCGAGUCAUCGGUUUUGGUCGAGUCGUUCCGGUUCUUACCGGUUCGUUUGCAUGGCCGAUCCGUUGUUCAACUCGAACCGGAUAUAUCACCGGUUCACGAUCCGACCGGUUUAACCGGCCGAUCCAGUUCGAGUUUUAAAACUAUGUAUAUAUAUUUUAGUAUGUACUCAGAUCGGAUGGUUAUCGGGCAUGUACGGUGAUUCUGUUCGGCCUUACCAUUAACUAUUCCUUCAACAUGGCUAGAUUAAAAUACUGAGUCAAGUUUCACUACUCUCAUGGUGAAAAAACAUGAUCAAGUUAUAAUCACCAUUUUUUUUUCUUUGAAUAAGCCAAAAAUCAUCAAUUUAUGAUUAAUGAACAUAUAGUAUCAAAGACCCAACAAUUGGCUCAAUUAAAUCACAACACAAAAUCAACUUUCAUUACCCACAUGCUGAAAAACCAUGAUAAAGUUUUGCCCACCCCUCUACUAUUGAACAUGUAUGAUUGAAGACUGCCAUAUUUUCUUUGACAUAACAUUGAAGCAUGUAAUUAAAUCAACUUAUUUAAGGAUUAUAUGAAUUUGGAACAAUAUUUUUUUUAACACGCAAAAAUAAUAUAUAUAAUAACGCAAGCCGAGCAAGUUACUAAGCACAAUGAGUGCCAAGAAAACAUGCAAGAAGUUUACAAAAAUUCAACAACAAACCAAGAAAAAUAUGCCAAAAAGAAAGAAAAUAUUAUAAGGUGAAACCCAUGCAUAAUAAAGGGUUGAGCCGCCGACUAUGAUAAUCGAAAGGAAAUGUAGAGUUAGUUGCUUUCAACCAUCAAAAAGAGAGUAGCUUAACCUUCUCUAGAAGUUGAUGCACAUGAUCUUUCUUUUGAUUAAAAAUCAUCUUGCUCCUUUCUUUCCAAAUCACCCACAUGUAAGAGAACCAAACCAACAACAAAGUAGAACGAAUGGAUCUGGAAUAACCGCCUUACUGAACAAGCUGAAUCAAAUGAUCCGGUAUGCAUGGCGGAUCAGCUGAAGAUACACCCAAGAACCAUUUAUGAAUAAAAGACUAAAUAAUACAAACAAUAUAUCAAGGCCAAUCUACAUCUUCAGGGAAAGGCACAUUGGAGAAAUUAAUUGUCUUCCCAUCAAGAGUAACCAUAUCAUAAGGUGAAUCUUCUCCAAAUUCAGCUGGCAUUAACUUCCAAUAUAGACUUGGUUCCCACUCUGCUUCUUUGAUGACAUUCAAUAUCUCCUUUGUUACUAUUUCACUCCCCUCAUUUGAUAGAUGAACUCCAUCACUAAGAAAUAAUCAAACCACCUAAUUAAAUUAUUGAAAAACAAAUUUGUAAUAUUUUAGUUUUGGUGCAUACAAAUGCGACCAUACUUACAUGAAACAAAAAUCUCUCCAAUCAUCUCUUUUUUGAAUUGCAGACCACGUAUCAAUGGCCUUGAUUUUCAUCUCACAACACAUGUCCAAACACGCUUCUGAAUAUAUUCGACUUACUUCAUUUGUUCUUAUUGGUUGCCCAAAAUCAUCACUGAGCUCAUUCAAACAAUUUGUUAGUAUUGAUAUAUCAUAGAAUAAUUAGGAAAUGAGAAUGUUAUAGGUUAUUACAUGUUGUGCUUCAUUUGUGCCUCAUUGAUUGGAGGAUUACUGAGAAGUAUAAUCCGAGUUUUCUGUGACAGGCUCUAUCCAUCAUUAGGAAUUAUGUCGAAAUUAACAUUCAGAAAAAAAAUUAACAAGUAAAAGUAAAAAUUUAUUAUUGGUAAUAAGAGGAAAUCAAAUAUCAGACGAAAACUUAAUUUUAUACACAAAGUACACAAGAAUUUCAUGAAGUAGGAAACAAUUAUUCAGUCUUUUUUUACGCAAUUGUGUCCUUUCAAAAGAAAUUAAUCAAAUUAGAGUUGUAAAGAAAAUUUAUUAAAAAAUAAAAUAAAAUACUCUAUAAGUGUACAAUUACGUAGGAAGAUGAAACUUACUAUGACUAUUGUAACCAUCAUUUUUUUAUGGGUAACCAUGAUAUUGAUAAGAAGUUUCAACCGCCGCUUAUAAGUGAUUAAUCUUCAUCGGGGAACAUGUGGAGCACAUAAGAUGAGUUCUCCCCUCCCAAUCAAUUUUUUUCCCAUACACAAAAAUUGAACAUCACAUUUUGACAUCAAUUUCGAUAGUUAUUAAAUUUAAACACGUGAUUAAUUACGAUUUGUGGAUUGUCCGUGAAUAUAACAACAUAUCGCAUCUCAACAACCAUCUAUUGAACCCAAAUACAUAAUACAAUUUUGAAUGUCAUCAACUAUAUUUUCAUUUGUUCAAAAUAUACAUUCAUUUAACAUUCAAAUUGUGUUCAAAUAUAUACGAGUUUUAUGUGUUUAAAUGUACACUUGAAAAUUAUGGUUAAUGAUGUUCAACAUUGUAGUUAACCAUACUCAAUGGAUGUUUAAUGAGUUGAGUCACUUUUUUAUUUAUUUACUUAGUUUUUUAUAUUUUUUCAAAGAGCCUAAAAUGGUUAACUUAUACACACUAAGUGCAAAGAAGUAAAGUAUUCUAGAUUCAAACAUUUGUCUCGACAUAACAAAUAUUUGUCGGUACAACUAGGGAUGAGAAUAGGUUAAGCUGAGGUAGGCUUUGCAAGGCCAAAGUCUAGCCUGUCAAAUUUUUGUAAGGCCUAAGCCUGGUCUGCGGCAUAUCAUAUGCUUACUUUUUAGGCUUAAGUCUGACCUUAUGAAGGUCUGAUUAGGCCUGCUAGCCUGUUUAAAAUCCUAUUUCAUAUGAACAUCUUUAAAUAAGUAAUGUGAUUCAAGGUUAAAUAGACUAACGAGCUAAUAGAUCAAUGAUAUUAAACUCUCUUUCGGUAUUUAACAAUGAAGUUUUAGAGAACUUUAUUAUAUAUUAUAUCAUCUUUCAAUUCUAAUUUAUAAUAAUACAUUUAAAUAUGCGAAAAAUAAUGUAAACUAAUAAGUUUAAAUUAUUUUAAAAGUUGACAAAUUUAUAAUUUAAUUCAAAGUAGAGUAUAUAAUAUAAUAAUCAAUAAUAUUAUUCAUAUUUAUAUAAGUAGGUCGGCCUAAUAGGCCUAAAAGACUUUUCUAAUAGCAUGUGGUCUGGCCGUUUAAGCUAAAUAGGCUUCUAUAAAGGCCCAAGCCUUGCCUAUUUAAGAAAAAAGUCUGAUCUGACCUGUCGUAGGCUAGGCUGUAGACCGGUCUGACCUAUUCUCAUCCCUAAUUACAACUACUGAUUAAGUUGUACGUACAGAAUUGUCAUCUUAUUAUAUUUAUUAAUCAUUAAAUUAUAUUAUUAACCACGUAUUUCAAUUGUGUUGAACAUUUAAAUAUAUGUCGAUAUUUGAAAUCAAGAUAACAAUACUCUUUUACCAUUAUAUGGGUAGCAAUCUUCUUCAUAUUUUCUAUGUAUUCCCCCAAUGGUACAUGAGGACCAAGACCACUUGGAUGUGGAGGAAUACAAUCGUUACCGCCAAAGUAUGCAAUCACCAAUGAUGGUUGUUCGAUGGCAUUCUGUAUUAGAGAUGACCAGUAUCAGGAUCAGUCUUCAUCAACAAAAUAAAAUAAUCACACUGUACACCACUGUAUGUAAAUAUAAAAAAGAAAAAACUUAAAAACUUAUGUCUAUAUUGCAAAUGGUAUACAUUAAAUUCAAUAGGUUUAAUACUAUGAAGGUCUAUAUAUUCUUCUCAAUAUGUCAAAUUGUCAAUGUCACCUUCCUAGUAAUCAUGUUCAAGAUAUUAUGUAAAUGGUUUUCUUUUUCUCUCACAUUAAUCAGCAACAUACAUAUUUGUGAAGGGCAUCACUUUUAACAAUAAUUUCAUGGAGAAAGUAUAAAAAUUUAAUCCAACAUUUGGUCUAAAAAAUAUCAGUUUUUAUCCUAGUUUUUAGAGAAAAUUUGAAUAACAAGAUGCCUUCAACAAUCAUAUACACAAUACCUUGGAAAAUAUUUUAUCCAAAACUUGGAGAGCAUGCCUUGAAUUCCAACCAGCAUAUCCCCGUAAAAGUAUAUCAGCCUGCGUCAAACCAAUGUUGGGUGUAGGAUAAGCAUGAAGACCAAUGUUGUAAUUGUUUAUAAUCAUAAGAUAAAGUGUUCCUCCAAUCACCCAAACAAAUUUGUGAUAGUGAUAUAAGUUUUAAAAUUUCUAAUAUUUGCCAAUAUAUGUGAUUAUCUAAAAUCUUAUUUUUCAUUGCUAAUAUUUAUAUGUGAAAAAUCUAAUGAGUAUAGCUUAUAUAGUAAAAGAAUUAAGAGUUUUUUUUUAAUAUGCUAUGUCAUGGAUUCGAACAUGUAGUUUCCUACUCAUAGUGUGUGAUUUUUGCCACUAAACUCUAUUAUUUCGAAAAGGUAUCGAAGAAUCUACAAUUAGAGGAAGAAAUAAUAAUACCUUGCGAGCAUACAAGUGAGAAAGAGUAGCUCCCCAACCUUCAUAGUAACUGUAUUGAACAAUUGAAGAACCAAACAACACAAAUUUAGGCCUCAUUGUUGUUCCUACCACACGAUGACAAUUGGGGUGAGGAUGAAGACUUAUACAUGUAGUUUUUUAAUUUUUCCUAUAGACGUUUUAAUUUUUAUGCACAAGCUACAUUUGCUUGUCAAAUCUAUUAUCUUUAAUUAUUGGGAAAAGAUAUUUUGAAAACCUUAGGACAACACACUGUUCCUGUAUAUGUACUUUUUGUUUUUUUUAAUAAUUGUUUCUUCACCUAGUCGAUUUGAUUGCAAUGCAUGAUUUUGGAAGGCAACAUAGGGUGUUCAUAACCGACAACUCAUUUGAGUUGAUCAUAUAUCAUGGCUCUUGAUUAUUGAAUUAUAAUAUUUGUAUGAUUAUUUUAUGAUAAAUUUUUAGUUAAUUUUUUUUUUUUUAGUUUUAUGGUUAAAAAUAAUAUAGAUAAAAAACAAAAGAGAGAAUAAAACAUAAUUAUAAAACCAUUUUAUAAUAACUAUUUUAUAACGAUUUUUGAAUAACUUUUUCUUUUAUGUUCAUAUUUUUUUAAUAUUUGAUUGUUUUGCAAAAUUAUUGCAAUUUUUUUUAAUAUUUGAAUGUUAACUCACGUUGGUGUCAAAAUAUGACCGAACGUGACUUAAGUCAUAUAAAUUAUAUUUCAACAUGAUUUAAGUCACGUUGGAUUUAACAUCUGCGUGACUUAAGUUGUGUGGAAGGUAUUUUAGGAAAUUUGGUUGAGAGUAAAUAAUUUUUGAUGAAAGAAGAGCAAUUUUCUAAUAAUUAUAACUAUUUUUUUUUUUUACAAAAUAAUUAUAACAAUUGAAGAACCAAAUAACACAAAUUGAGGCUUAGAGUAGUCAUUGCUCCUCACACACUCCGACAAGGAUAAAGACUUAUACAGAUAGUCAUUAAUUAUUAACCUCAAUUAUUUGUAGUUUGGUUGUUGUGCAAUUAUACUAAAAGUAUAUAGUUGGUCAGAGUGUUGAUUAGAGCAGUGAUUGGCAUACAUCCUUAUGUGGCAAACACCUCUUGACCUCCACUUAAAAAAAUGACAUGUGGCAACGUGGGCUCCACAUAUCCACCAAAUGUCUCUCUCUUCUCUUUUCCUUCAUCCCUCUCUUCUCCGAUGGACCGCCGCCGUCGCCCCCACCACCACCACCACCAUCAUCAAUAUCGAUCCCCUUCCUCACCACCACCAUUUUUACCAUCACCGGAUCUGCUCAGAUAUGUCUUAACCGUCGUCGCCCAGAUCUGCGAUUUUCCCACACUUCGUUCUUUACACCACCGCCACCGUCAACCCAUCACCACCGCGUCACCAUUGCUCUCAACUCUUAUCUCGCAAUCUCAUCUCUCUCUUCCUUCACCCUCACCGGAACACCCACCAUCCUCUAUAUAAACCAUCCUGUUAGUGGAGGAGAUCAAUUUACGAUGUCAAUAGGGGUUGGUAUGCCUUCAAUAUGAUUUUUCAUUACCAAAGCAUUAGCAUUAUUCAAACUAUUAAAGGAAUUAUUUGAGGUUUGCACUACCGUAACAACAACUGAGUUUCUCAUGUAAAAUACCCCACAUGAGGUGGAAGUAGUGUGGAAUGGUCUUUCCUCAAAUAAUUUCAUUAACAGUAUCAGAGAUGGAUGUAGUGCGGUUAGUUAUGAGAGCUUGAGAGAGGUCUGAGAAAGUUGCAGAGAGAUUUGGGGAAAGAGAUGAUUAGUGGAUGAUUCAGAAAAAAAAAAUUAAAUAAAAAUGCCACAUGGAGGAUGUUUAUUGGAGGUGUACAAAGUGUGUAUAAUGUGAAGUGGUCCAACUAUAAUUUUCCGUUGAUUAUGCCAAGUAUGUGGCUAGAGUAAUUAUUAUAUAGUCACGAGCCUAAAUGAAUAGUAUUUGAGGACAUAAUUUUUUUUGUUUUGAUUUACUUUUUUAAUAGAUCAAACAAAAAUAAAAAUUUCUUGAAAAAAAUAAAAUUGGUUUUUGUUUGGCCUAUUAGAUGGUAAAUCAAAACAAUUUUUUUUUUUUUUUACAGGGGAUAAAUAAAAAUAUAUAUAUAUUUUACAGGAGGGAAAACAUGAAAUGACAUAUAUUACAGGGGAUAAAAGUCUAUUAACCCUUGAAUUUUUAUGACAUCAAUACUCAAUUUUUUUUUUAAGCAAUCAAACUUAGCUCAUCACUAAAAAUGAGUGGGGUUGGGAAUUGACAUAGUGGAUCUGCAGGGACCUACGGUCUGACCUGUUUAGGCUUGACGGUUUAUUAAAAAUGAUAUAGCUUUUUGAAAAAUCAUAUUUAAAUAAAUAUGUCAGACUUCGGCUAUAAAAAAAAGCUCCAAUAUGCAUAUUAUUAAAACUUAUUUUUAUUUAUAUUAAAAUAUAAUUUAUAUUAAACAUAAAAAUCAAGAAAUAACUCAAAUAAUAUACUUUUUAAAUAGGCUUUAAGGUCUUACAGUGAAAUAGGUUUUUAGGGCCUUAUAGUGAUAGACAAGUCUUAUUGUGAAAUAGGCUUUAAGGCCGAUUUAACUUUUUUUUAAGGACCGAUUUAAUCUAUUUAAAAGUAGAUAAAAUGAAUUAUUUAAUGACUUUAAUAUAAAUUAGGCUUGUACGUAGACUUUAAGGCCAUACCAGACUUUUAAAUAGAUCAGGCGGUAAAAUAAUAAACUUACAACUCAAACUUGCAAUUUUUUUCGUACGUCAGGCUUAGGUCUAUCAAAGUCUGAUCUGACCUGAGCUAUUUCCACCUCUAAAAAUUAGGGAUACAACGAAAAAACAGCGAUUAAACCAAGAAAUAGCCACCAUAACCAGAAUAUGCGCAACCAUAUUUAUUUAUCGUUUAAUAAACCGAAGCUCAAUUAUAAGUAUAAUGUGAAAAUAAACUUUAGCUCAAAUAUAAGAAUAAUGUGAUUUUUUUGUUGAGGUAAGAAUAAUUUGAAAUAUUGAAGUUUGACAAAAAAUAUUAUGCAUAUAUUAAGAUUUUUUUAAGGAAAAAGAAAACUUAAUAUAUGCAUAAUAUAUAUUAAGAUUUUAAACAGAGUAAAUAUUCAAUUUAAUCUAAAAAAAAUAGACUCAAGUUAGUCUCUAAAAAAAAAAUUUAAUUAUUCAAAAAAAAAAAAAAAGUUUACGUCAUCGGAGAAAUUUAAACUAGAACACAUUAUUUUCUACAUUUAACUUUCAUCACAAAAUCAAAUUUUGGUUGCUUUAUAUUGUGCCUUAGAAUGGUAGGCUUUUUUUUUUUUUUUUGGUUAAUAGGUCUUUCCCCAUAUAAUAUAGGUCAUUUCUGGUUUUUUUCUCUAUAAUUUAUUUUUAUUUACCCCGUGUAAUUUUUAUUUUAUUUACUCCUCUAAUAGGCCAAACAAAAACCAUUUUUUUUUAAGAAAUUUUCGUUUUUGUUUGGCCUAUUAGGGGGUAAAUUGAAACAAUUUUUUUUUUUACAAGGGGUAAAUAAAAAAAAUAUAAGAGAGAAAACUGAAAAUGAUCUAUAUUAAAGGGGGUAAAGACCUAUUAACUUUUUUUUUUUUCUUUUCAAGUUCACGCUGUAGAGUAACAUUUUGUGCAAUAGAGACAAAAUUGGUCCCUGAACUUCAAAUUACACUAGAAUAAGAUAUUUUAGUUAGUAAGUCAGAUUUUAGAUACCUAGUUUUCUUCUUCCUCUUCUCUGCAUUGAAUAAGCUAGGGAUCAACGACAGUCUUAAGAUUUUUGGGAUAUUGUUAUAUUUGAAAGGGGAUCAUGACAAGAUAAUCAAUUUGUCCUUUUGGUCUUCAAGAGAGAAACAACAAUAAUUUUUUGAGUUUCAACUUCAAGUGUGAGUGGGUAAAAUGAUCGAUAUAUAAGAGAUGUGAUUCAUAUACAUAAUGUCUUAAGGUUUUGGGUGGAGUCGUGACUCCCUUUUAUAGGAGCUCUAACUCUUCGUUACAAAAUGUACCAUUCAAAAAUGCUUUAAACUUAUCUAGCUUUUUUCUUCUCUCUUAUACUCUUGUCUUAGAGUGUUGUGAGAUGUAAUUAGGUAUUUGCUUUGGAGGGUACGGAUGUACUAGGACAAAGGGUGUUGUAUAUAGUGUUAUUACAUGGAUGUCAUUAGACAACUAUCGUGGUUUUUUCUCCUGCUUUGGAGUUUCCACAUUAUAUGAUUGUGUUCCUUUAUUUAUUUUCAAUGUUGGUUUUUUCCAACAACGACUAUUAGAGCUUUUGGUUCGGCCCAAGGAUAGGAGUUCUUAGUAGUAUUUAUGGUUGCAACAUUGUCUGAUCUUUCAUAUCAAAAAAGAAUGGUAUUGUAUAAUUGUUGAAAUCACAAGUUCAGCUCUGAAGUUUAGCUAGAGUAAAUUGUUGGAAAAAUCAAUUUUGACUUGUAGAAUUUUCAAAGUUAAGGAUAUGUGAAUACAAUAGAGAUUACACAAGGUGUUGAUUAGUACAUUAGCAUUUAUUUACAUUGAUGCAAUUAUGCUAUGAGAUUAUGUCGAUGGUUGAAGAGCUUCCUGCAAACAUAAAAAUUUCAUUGUAAGUUUUCAGUUUGAUUUUUGACAUGAAAAUUCUUGGAAUGGUUUAACUUUAAGCAAAGUAAAAUCUAAUGGAAGACUAUGAUAGUACUUCUAUAAUUGUCAAACAAUUUGAAAAGUUAGCUUCAAGUGACUAUACUUCAGAUGAUGGAGCAUGAUGGUUCUUUUGAACUACGAGUGUUAAUGACGACAAUGGAAAUAAAUGUAUUAUUUUCAAUUAAGGUAAAGAUUAUCGGUGUUGGUUGAAAAAUACAUGUUGAAGAAGUCUUGAACCGCUUAAAAUUGUAAAAGAAGAGGGAAACCAAAGACUAUAUAUACGAGCUUUAGUUCUUAGUUACAAGAUGCAUCGAUCAAAAACACUUUAAGCUUGUAACUUACAUCCUCCGGUCACUAAUAUAAGCAAAAAUCUACUUUUUAGAUACAUUCAAUUAAUGAUGUAUGUGAUCCUUAUUAUAUGUCACAUACAUCAUUAAUUGAAUGUAUCUAAAAAGUAGAUUUUUGUUUAUAUUAGUGACCGGAGGAUGUAUUUUUUUUCUUAUCUUACACUCUUGUCUUAGAGUAUUGUAAGAUGUAGUUAGAUAUUUGUUUUUGGAGGAUGUUGGUGUACUAGGGUUGGAGGGUGUUUGAGUGUAAUAUAUAUGUGUUGUGAAAUUUGCAUAUAGUAUUCUAGUUAUUAUUUGAUAACGAUCGUGGUUUUUUUCUUCGAUUAUGGAGUUUUCAUGUUAUUUUAUUGUGUUGUGGUUGUGUUCUUUUAUUUUUCUUAUGCUAGUUUUUUCAAACACAAUUAACUAUGUCAGCCGAAAAGUAAGCAAUUUAAUGUUACAUCUUAGUAUGAAUAGUUAGAUGGCUCUUUAUCAAACUUUAACGAUAUUUAUAAAGAAAAAAAUUGAUGUAUGGUGGUGAUGGAUAAAUGUUAGCCUUAAUUGUAAUUUAGGUCCUCUAUUUUUUGUCAUCUUUUUAGAUUUGAUCUCUCUAUUUUAAAAUCUCAUAGUUUUGGUCCUUUCAUUAUAUUUUUUAACAAAAAAUUGAUGAUGUGAUAACUUUUAAAUGAUAUGGUAGGAGUAUAUUGACUAUUGAAAAAGAUCAACAUCAAUGAAAUUGUCAAAAAAAAAAAUUAAAAAAAAUUAUUUAAUAUCAUCAUAUUUUAUACUAAAUAUUCAAAAGAGUGACCAAAACAAUAAAAUUUUAAAGUAGGGUAACAAUUUUGCAAAAUGGUAAAAAUGGAAAAACCACAACAACAAUUAAACCAAAAUUUCACCAGAAGAUGAUCCAAAUCCAUAAAACAUUCACUAAUAAUUUUUAAAUAUUACCAUUGAUUAUUAGUCCAUGUGAAUUGAAUGGUGCAGGGAAUAGUGGUUGGUUUCAGGGGUAAUGGGUGAUUUAAUUUCAUGGUGAGUACACUUUAGAGGUCCAUUGUUUGCCUCUGAUUUUACCCCGUUAUUACUUGUCAUUAAGCUACACAUUGGAAGGUAUAUAUGUUUUCAAUUUUCUUUUUCCAAUUUACUAAUAAUUCUUAUAUUUUAUGGAAUACGUUUUUGUUUAAUUGUUUGAGAUUAAUCUAUAUAGUCAGUACCCACUAUAGUUAGUGUUGAGCAAAAUUGUGACAAACUCAUUUGUAUAGUGUUUCUUGGUUCAAUCUGUUUAAGUCAACAUUUUUUUUUUAGAUAUCCAUGGUCUUUUGCCCUUCUUAGCUUUUUAAAAGAAACCAUUUUUCAUUUCAAGAUUUUUAGGCUUAAAAACAGUACACAUCUCUCCUUUUUUAUCUGAGUUGUACAUGAUUUAAGUCAAAAUCGUUUUAUCAAGUGAGUGUUUUGGACUUUAAGAAAAAUGUGAAGGAAAAAAAUCAUAACUAAGCUAGCAAAUGGUAUGAAAGGCUUUAACUUUAUGGACAUGGCAAGGCUUUAAAUACCACUUGUAAGAAUAAAUUAUUAAAAUCAUAUAGGCUUUAUCUGGGGAAGGUAAAAUAAUUGAGGUACUAUGAAUACUUUUGAUUUUUAUGGGGAAGGCUUUACAUUCUUGACCUACAUGGAAGCAUUUUGUUUUUCUUCUCUCAUUUUAAGGCUUUUGUCUGUUAUAGCCGUAUUUUUCUUGCUGCCACAUCUGACAUACAAUCUGGCCCUUUUUUCAAACUGUAUUUGAUCCCUUAGCUAAAUUAUCUUUUGUUAAACUUUUGGCAGGUUUGCAAGUAACAAUUACAAAUGAAGACAAAUGGUAACAUAAGGUUAUCAAUCUUUGUGGAAGUAGUCUUGGCAGGAAGAGUAGCCAUCAAGAUGAUGCCAUUGAACUUGGAAAUGAAUUAGGUAUAUAUUAAUAAUUCAAUAUUCUUGAAAAAAGUUUUUUAUCUGUUUUUUGUGGAUGAGGUGGAAAUGGUUAAACUUUAUCAUGACAUUGAAUUUUCUAAUUCCUUGUAAAUUUCAGUUUUUUUUAAAAAAAAUCUUGUUAAUGCGUUGUUUUUCAGUACCAUACUUGCUAGUGAAAUUCAUGACAUACUAAUGUGAUUAACCAUUAUGAUGGUUAUGGAGAAUACUUGCUAGUAAAACACAUAAUAAUGAACUUAUAAACACUUUAUCCUUGUUAUGGAGAAUACUUGCUAGUAAAACACAUGACUUAUAAACAUGAUAAACCAUAAUAAUGAACUUAGUCAAUUUUUCUUUUGCCAUGCCUUAUAAUAAACUCUCUUAGUAAAAGUGUGAACCGUGAAUUCCAUUGUAUGCCUCUUGGACUCCUCUUAUUUUCCUUUCAUAUAAUGAUCGAAUGAACACAAAUACAAAUAAUAAUAUAUGAAUAAAUUACAGGAACAAAAAUUAGUAAGAUGACACAUGUUUGUUUAUUGAAGAAUUAAUUUUAUUAGACACAUGGUAAGUAACAUUGGUAAAAUUAUAAUUUCCGGAGACAUCUUAUGGAUGACUGAUGCUGUGAUGCAUCUUUCUUAAUCUACACAAAUCUGCAGAUCAUGUUCUUGUUAACAUGCCUGCUUGGCUGCUAUCCAAACGCUUUUGAGGAAUAGUUUGAUGAAGGAUCUACACAAAUAUGCAGAUCUGAUGAAGGAAUUAUCUGAUGAGGACUUGUUUAUAUGCUUGUUUGUUGCUGUCCAUAUUACACAUUAUCACUGUAAGUAAAAAAAAUGAAAACAAUUGUGUAAAACUUGUAAUCUCUUGUUUAUUAUUAAAAAAAUGAUGGCCUUCCAUUUUUGAGUUCUUUCUCAUUCAUUCACUUUAUUAUUCAACUGUAAGUUGUUACGAAUUUGGAGAAAAUUUAUAAUUUAUUAUUUUUAGCUUGCAAUUGGUUUUUGAUUGUUUUGUGAAUAACAUGAAAUAAUUUUUUUUACUUAAUAAUAUAUGCAAACAGACACACACACAAACACAUAUUUAGCCAUAUAACUCUGUUUUGUACUAAGAAUGUUAUGAAUGAAGAGAGGCUCUGCAUUUAAGGGUUAUACCUUAAACUUGUUGGAGAAUAUCUAUAGAAAAAAAUUAGAUGUAGCUGUCAAUGCAGAAAAGAUGGUAGACUCUUUGGUGAGGUUUGGUUAUGUGGGGGGAGGAAACCUGGAGAAAAAAAAGAGACAGAAAUGAGAAAACUAUCACCAAGAGAGUUAACAGUAACUAUCCAAAAAAAAAGGAGUGAAGAGUUGUUAUACCUUAAAUUUGCCUAUUUGUAGAAUAUCUAUCAUUUGCUUUCAUAUGAAGGGCUUCCAGCUGAAACAAUGAAGAGAAUAACAGAAAUUUUAUGAGCACCAUGAGUUUUGUGAACUAAAAUUCAAUUUUUCUUCCCCACACUAACUUUGUUAAAUAUUCUAAUCAUAGUGUUCUUUUGACUUGCCUUCAUGCUGCUUGCUGCUGGCGUGGUUCCUCCUUCAAGAAUGCCUUGAGCUGGCUGUGGAAACCUAUGGAUGGGAGACAAAGAAGAGGCAAAAAGUUGCAUAAUGAAGAAUGACAUAGAGAUGUUCAUGUACUUGUACUGUAAAGAAGAAUAAAAAAAAUGCAUACCAAUGAGAUAAGUUGUUGUAUCACGUAUAACCUGCAUCGUCAAUUGUAAGAGUAUGUAAAUGUAAAUUUAUCAAACAUCAUGAAAAUCCACAGAACAACAUGAAGUAAAAGGAAGCAUAAAUUAGACAAAAAAAAUGCAUAAAUUUACCUGGCUUGCAAAAUGUAUGAGAGAGAGAGAAAGAGAAAGGCAAGGCAAGAGGCAUAAAUUAGACCAACAUGAGUGAAUGUGAUGGCAAGGCAAGGCUUUAAAUACUACUUGAGGGAAGAGAAAGAGCCUUGGGGAGAAAGGGCCUUGGAGCGUGAGAGAGAGAAAGGGCCUUGGAGUAGCACACAGCACUACAGUAGUAGCACACAGCACUACAAAACAAAAUUACUUUUAGCAGAAAUAUAGCUCACAGCACUACAGUAGUAGCACAUAGCACACAGCACUACAGUAGCACCUAUUCAUGUACUUGGCUGAAAGCGACCCGCCAAGCUUGGAGAAGGGCGGAUUUCGCUGGAAAGGGAAGAAAACGCCAAAAUUGGGCGAAAUCCAUUGUAAGAUUUAUUGAUUCAAUGAAUUAGGGCAUAAGUCGUAAUCCAUAGUGUUGUUAAAUGUAAUUUUAAAGCUAAUCACGUGUCUUAGAUGUGGAAUUUUUUAGUCUUAUUGCUAUUACUAGUGUUUUUUCACCAAUCAUCCAUCUAACAUAAUUGUAACUUGUUCAUUUUUAUUUUUUGACAAAUUCAUGUAACUUAUUUAAUUAGUGUAUGUAAAUCCACUUGCAUAAUAGGGUAUCAAAAGCUCCAAUGUAAAACUAAUUGUGAGUUGUUGUAUAUAAUAAAUGCAUCUAUUGACUAUUCCAUCAACAUGGCUCGAUUAAAAUACUGAGUCAAAUUUCACUACUCACAUGGUGAAAAUUCAUGAUCAAGUUAUGUUCACCCAUUUCUUAAUGAACAUGUAAUAUCAAUGAUACAACAAUUGGCUCAAUUAAACCACCAUAAAAAAAAAAAACAAAUUUCAUUAUUCACAUAGUGAAAAACCAUGAUCAAGUUUUGCUCACCCAUCUAAUAUUGAACAUACAAUUUCCAUAAGGAUUCUAUGAAUUUGGAAUAAUAUAUCAAGGCCACUCUACACCAUCAGGAAAAGGCACAUCGGAGAAAUUAAUAUUUAUCUUCCCAUCAAGAGAAACCAUAUCAUAAGGAGAAUCUUCUCCAAAUUCAGCUGGCAUUAACUUCCAAUAUAGACUUGGUUUCCACUCUGCUUCUUCGAUGACAUUCAAUAUCUCUUUUGUUACUAUUUCACUCCCCUUGUUUGAUAGAUGAACUCCAUCACUAAGAAAUAAUCAAAUCCCCUAAUUAAAUUAUUGAUAAACAAAUUUGAAAUAUUUUAGUUAGGUGCAUACAAAUGAGAUCGUACUUACACGAAACAAACAUCUCUCCAAUCAUCUAUUUUCUGAAUUGCAGACCACAAAUCAAUGGCCUUUAUUUUCAUCUCACGACACAUAUUCAAACACGCUUCUGAAUAUAUUCGACUUGUUUCAUUUGUUCUCAUUGGGUUCCCAAAGUCAUCACUGAGCUUAUUCAAACAAUUUGUUAGUAAAGAUAUGUCAUAGAAUAAUUAGGAAAUAAUAAUGUCAAAGAUUAUACAUUUUUUUAAGGGAAAAAGGUUAUUACAUGUUGAUCUUGAUUUGUGCCUCAUUGAUGGGAGGAUUACUGAGCAAUAUAAUUCGAGUCUUGUCUGAUAGACUCUGCCAAUCAUUACGAAUUAUGUCAAAAUUGACAUUCAUAAAUAUUUUUUGAAUAGUAAAAACAAAAUUAACAUUGAUAAAUAUGAGAUGAAAACUAAAUUUCAUACACAAAUGACACAAGAAUUUCAUAAAGUAUGAAACACAAUUAUUAUCCUCUCCAUUUGGAAAAAAAAAAAUAAAGUUUUGUAAGUUGGAGAGAGAUAGACACAAAAAAUAGAUGGUGGGUCCUACCACUAAGUGGGUCCCACCAUCAUUAAUUAUAUUUUAUUUUUUUCAAAAUUUUAUGUGUCUUUAUCUCUUCAAAUUAAAAAAAUGGAGAAACACAUAAAUGGAGAGGAUCAUAACCCAAAAUAACAAUACCCUUUUACCAUUAUAUGGAUAGCAAUCUUCCUCAUAUUUUCUACGUAUUCCUCCAAUGGUACAUGAGGACCAAGACCACUUGGAAAUGGAUGAGUACAAUCAUUACCACCAAAGUACACAAUCACCAAUGAUGGUUGCUCAAUGGCAUUCUGUAUUAGAGAUGACAAGUAUCGAAGUAUCAUGGGUGAGUAUUUGUCAACAAAAUCAAAAUAAUCAUAUUGUACACAACUAUAAAUGUAAAUAUUCAAGCAUAAAAACUUAUGUAUAUGCUGCAAAUGAUAUUCAUUAAAUUCAUUACAUUCAAUACUAUGAAGAUCUAUAUAUUCUUCUCAAUAAGUUGAUGCCACCUUUCUUGUAAGUUGGGUCAAGAUAUCAUGUAAACGGUAUUUUUUUCCACAUUAAUCAGCAACAUAUAUUUUUUUUUUUUGACAAAAGUAACAUAUAUAUUUAUGAAAGGCAUCACUUGUUAACUUAAUUCAUGGAAAAAAGUAUAAAGGUUUAAUUCAACAUUUAGUCUCCUAUUUUUCAAUAAAGAGGUCUCCUUUUUAUUUUAUACUUUUUUUAUCAAAAGAUGCCUUCAUCAGUCAUUAUAUUCAAUACCUUAGGAAAUAUUUUAUCCAAAACUUGCAGAGCACGCCUUGAAUUCCAAGCAGCAUAUCCCCGCAAAACUAUAUCAGCCUACAUUAAAUCAAUGUUAGGUCUUCCAAAAAAUUUGUGAGAGUGAUAUAAGUUUAAUUUUAUAAUUUCUAAUAAUUGCAUAUAUAUAUAUAUAUAUAUAUAUAUAUAUAUAUGUGUGUGUGUGUGUGAUUAUCUAAAAUCUUAUUUUUCAUAGGCAAUAUUUAAUUAUAAGUGAAAAAUUUAUAAGUACACCUUAUAUUUUGAAAGACCGAAAAGACUUUUGAUAUUCUAGAACAUAGAUUCGAACUCGUUUUUUCUUAUUUGGUGUGUGAUCUUGGUCACUACUCACUAGACUCUUUUAUUUCGAAAAUGUACAUAACCAAUUAAACUUUACGGUAUUGAUAGUCAGAGGAAGAAAUAAUAAUACCUUACGAGCGUACAAGUGAGAAAGUGUAGCUCCCCAACCUUCAUAGUAACUGUAUUGAACAAUUGAUGAACCAAACAACACAAAUUUAGGCCUCGUUGUUGCUCCCCAACUCUGCAAUGGAAGAACCUUCUUUAUUGCUCCCCAACCUUCACCAUAAUAUCAUUGUAUUGAACAAUGGAUGAACCAACAGCACAAAUCAACACUCUAGUAUAAAGGAAAUGGAUUCUCUAUCUUUACUUUUUUAUUUUUAUUUUGAUGAUUUUCGUGUAUUUAGUAGAGAGUUCGAUGAUGAAAAUAAAUUAAUUAGAUGGGAGAGAAUGAUUGUUCAAAAUAGAUAGAGAAAAAGUUACCAGAGAGAGGGGAUUGAAAGGUAGAUAAUAUGCAUCCCAUAACUUCUGAGUUGAAAUAGUUUUCUCUAUCUUCUCAAUGUUAUGAUCAGAUGGUGACUUGUUUUAUGAUUAUUGUUCCUACCACACCAUGACAAUUGAGUGAGGGGGAUGAAGACUUUAUAUUCAGGUAGUUGUUUAUUUUUUCUAUACACGUUUUUAUUUUUAAUUACCAAGAGAAAACGUCCAACCAUAAUUGGUACUAGUUUAUUAAAAACCAAAUCUUUUUUUUUUUAAAAUAUUAAGAACCAAAUCUAUUAUCUUCAAUUAUUAUAAUUCAGAUCGAUAGGAUUAGUAGUGCUGAGUUGUCAAGCAAUAAAAAAAAUUGCAACUUGUCCUUGUGAAAUUAAAAUAAAGAAUGAUAUAAGAAUAAGGAUUUUUUUAGUUUGUAGGCAUUAGGCAAAGUGAGAAACACGAGGUGUAAUUCACACUCGUAACUACAAGGUUCUCAAUUUAAAUAUAGAUCAUGUCCAAUUUAAUACUUUCGUUUUAAAAUGAACGUCGUUUAAGAUUUUUAUGCACAUAUUAAAAAAAUGCAUUAAUUAAAAGAAAGAGAAAUAGUAUUUUAUCAAAUUAUUCUAAUCAACUUUUUUUUUAGUCAGGUAGCAUAGCGGUUAGAAUUCACCUUAUAAGGUGAAUAAGUGAGGUGUUUGAGGUUCGAAUCCCGGUCCCUAUAUAUAAUAAUGCAUUGUCCUACGAACUAAACUAUGCUCACGGGACUGAUUUAUUUUUAAUUAAAGAAAAAAAUAAUACUUUGCUAGAACAGCAUUCAUUUUAAGACUAAUGGAGUAUAAAAGUAAGGAUUUAAUUUAUUGACUUCGUAUAACUUUUUUAUAUGAUAUCCCCUACUCUUUUUUUUAAAAAAAAAAAGGAUGGAAUAGCAACAAAUAAAUAAAAAAAAACUCAAAAAACAGAUAGGGAGGCCAAACCAAACCUCUCUAAUGAGUUAUAAACCUAUAGUUAGGUAAACCUAAUCUAUUUCUACCAAAAGAAGAUCAUAUGCACAUAGGAAGAUUAUACCAAACAGUGAGAUUAGCAACAUCAGCACCUAGAUUAGCAAAAGAGUCUGCACAAACAUUACCUUCUCUAUAUAUACGAGAUGCCAAAAAGUUCAUACUACUAGUUAAUUGCAAGCAAUUCAACCAUCUGUUUCUAAGAUGCCAAGGAACUAUGGAUUGAUUUUUGAAGGCACUAACCACCACUUCUGAAUCCACUUCAAGCCAAAGAUUGGUCAAAUAAUGAGUGUUGGCUAACUCAAUAGCUCUCAUGGCACCUGACAGCUCAGCAUGCAAAGAAUCACCAACUCCAGUAUUUUCGCCAAAGCAAAUCAUGUGGUCUGCUUUGCAGUUUCUAAAUAUGCCUCCACAAGAUGAUAAAUUCCCGUUAGAAGAACCAUUUGUGUUACAUGUUACCCAUCUAAUAGGAGGAGGCCGCCAUAUUACCUCUAUUAUAUUUGGAGCUCCAUGAGGAUGAAGAUAAACAUUGAACUUCUUCAAAAUGACAAAGUUGGCUAUAUUAGGAGAUGCAACUUUCUUUGAGAGAUUACCAUAUAAAGCGACAUUAGAAGUAAUAGAAGCAAUUAAAGACUUCCAAGGAAUUUUCUUGUUUUGAAAUCUUAUUUGGUUUCUUGCGAACCAAAUGUUAUUGAUGAGAUUUAUUAGAGCAACAGUGACCACAACUUUACAUUGAGGGUUCCAAGAACCAUUGCAAAUGUUCCAAAUGUCCUCUUUUGUUUGAAAAUUGAGAUUGCAGUUAAAGAUAGAGGCCAACCAUCAUAAACCUCCAAACAAGCAAAUAUUUAGAGGGAGGAAUAUCAGCAUACCAAAUCAACUUAGCCCAAUUAACUUUAGGUAAAUGAGUUUGUUUGAAAUGAUAAGCAUCUUUAAGAGUUAAAUCACCCUUAGAAUUAUGAUUCCAAACCAGUCUAUCCCUCCUGCAGAUUAUAGGGAUUGUGACCUGUGCAACAAGAUUUCUCAGAUUAGGAAUAAGAUGAGACAAGUCAUCAAGGAAAGACCAUCUGAAAUCAUGAAUAUAAGCAUUUAAAUUCUUAGGAUACUGAUCAAUCUGUUGUUGAUUAAGAUUAGAGCUUUCUGCUAAAAUAACACCACACUAAUUAUCAUGCCAGAAGUUAAUGACACCACCAUUACCAACUAACUAGUUGGAGUUAUCUAGCAAAGUUAAAAAUUCAGAUUUAAUUCCACUCUAGAGAGAAGAAAAAUGUGAUACUGGAUUCAGGAAGACUCCCUCAACACUUUGCUUCUAAGAAUAGAAGCCCAUUGCUCAUCAGAUUGAAACAAUUUCCAACAAGAUUUAAGGUUAGUUGCAUUAUUUAGACAAAUUAGAGAUCUAAUACCGAGGCCUCCCUUAUCAAAAUUAGUACAAACCUUUUUCCAAGUAAGUUUACAAGCCAGGAGUAAAUAUUCAUAGUAUGAACAAGCAUAUGUUGAAUAACUGACUUAACCAGCUCAAUUCUACCUGCAAUAGAGAGCAGGUAGAUCAUAUGAGUAUUUAUCUACUAAUGUUAGAUCUUAGAUUAUACUUAUGUGUAUUUAUCUAUACUAUGUAUAAAAAAAUCAUAUGACUUUGAGCUGACUUUUUCUUUUCCUAUAUUACUCUUCUUUUAAGCUACUUUAUGGUUUAUUAUUUUAUCUUUUAAUAAUAUUAUUCAAAAAAAUUAAUUAAAUUUUUUUAAUGAUAUUAAAAUAGGACUGUCCCAUUACGAUAGGAACAAUAUCUAUCUACACUAUAUGUAAAGGAAUAAGGGAUUUUAGGAUGACUUUUUUUUAUUAUUUCAAUUAUACCCUUAAACAAAUUUUUCUAUAUUAAUGUUUUAAUGUUGGGGUUAUUAAGAAAAAUUAGAAUUUUAUAUUAUAUUUGUUGUUAAACUAUUGUUGUGAUUGAAAAAGAUAGGCAUGGUUUGUUGGAUUUGUUACAAUUUGAAAGUCUCAAAUAUUUAUACUUAUAAUUUUAAUCAUAAUCAAAAUUUUAUAUAAAAUACCGCUUAUAAUUUAUAAGUGUUAGCGUAAUAAAAAGAGCGGAAAGUAAAACACGUGAAUGUUUCUCUUUCCGCUAAUUUAUCAUAAUUUGAUUGGAUGCAUUUACAAAACGAAGUCGAAUUAAAUAUAUUAAAAUCAGUAAUAAUCCUAACCGGCAGAGAAGGAGUGCAGGGGAAGGAUUGAAGAAGUUACAACAAUCAAGAACAAAAUCAAAGUUACAACAAAGAAGGAUAGACAACAACAAAAGCCGAGUGACAAAACUCAAACUUUGAAGAGGGUUGAGCCCAAAAGUGAAAAUCAAAAGCUAAAUGAAAAUUGUUCUUUUCCCAUCAAAAUUGUUCUAUGAAUUUGGAAUCAUAUAUCAAGGCCACUCUACACCUUGAGGAAAAGGCACAUUGGAGAAAUUAACAGUUGUCUUCCCGUCAAGAGAAACCAUAUCAUAAGGUGUAUCUUCUCCAAAUUCAGCUGGCAUUAACUUACAAUAUAGACUUGGUUCCCACUCUGCUUUCUUUAUGACAUUCAAUAUCUCCUUUGUUACUAUUUCACUCCCCUCAGUUGAUAAAUGUACUCCAUCACUAAGAAAUAAUCAAACCACCAAACUAAAUUAUUAUUGAUAAACAAAUUUAAAACAUUUUAGAUUAGGUGCAUAGGGGCGGAGCCGUUCAUGGACUAGGGUGGGCCACGGCCCAUCCAGAAAAAUUAAAAAAUUAACAAGCAUAGGUAUAUUUUGCGAGAAUAUAAACAAUUUUGCUGCUGUUUUAGUAUUCGACAUAUCUAAAUCUCCACUAAUUGGUGUAGUGGCCCACCUAGAAAAUUAAAAAUCAUAGGUUUAUUUUACGAGUUUUUAAACCAUUUUUCAACGGUUUGGAUUUUCGACGGUUUUAAAAGUGACAUGUGAUUUUCGUCAUGCUUAUACUUGGUUGGGUAGUGGAGGUCUACAGACAUUCUAAUUUUUUGGGGUUUCAAAUCUCCUUUAUAUUUUCUUGUCAACUGAAAAUUUCUCAAAUUAAUAGUUGUAUUAUAAAAAAAAUAAAAAUAAAAAAAGAUUCGUAAUUUAUACUAGUAUUAAACUAUGUAAUUUAUUUUUUCAAAGCACCUGAGUUUUCUAGUCAAACUUUUAAUGGUCCAUCUAAACAAUUUUUAUUGGCUUCGCCGCAUAUAUACGAGAUCAUACUUACAUGAAACAAACAUCUUUCCAAUCAUCUCUUUUCUAAAUUGCAGACCACAUAUCAAUGACCUUUAUUUUCAUCUCACGACACAAAUCCAAACAUGCUUCUAAAUAUAUUCGACAAUCUUCAUUUGUCCUCAAUGGUUGCCCAAAUUCAUCACUGGAUUCAUUGCAACUUAAUUGUUAAUAUAUAUCAUAGCACAGUUAGGAAAUAAGAAUGUCAAAAGUUAUUACAUGUUGAACUUUAAUUGUGCCUCACUGAUGGGAGGACUACUGAGAAAUAUAAUCCGAAUCUUGUGUGACAGGCUCUGUUAAUUAUUACAAAUUAUGUCAAGAUUAACAUUCAUAAAAAAAAUUGAGCUGCAAAGGACACUAGAAUUUCAUGAAGUAUGAAACAUAAUUAACCAUGUAUUUCAACUAUGUUAAAGUUUAAAUUUAUGUCGAAAUUUGAAAUCAAAAUAACAAUACUCUUUUAGCAAUCUUCCUCAUAUUUUCAAUAUAUUCUUCCAAUGGUACAUGAGUGAGGACCAAGACCACUUGGACGUGGACGAAAAGAAUCAUUACCACCAAAGUACACAAUCAUCAAUUCUGGUUGUUCAUGGACCGUCUGUAUUAGAGAUAGCUCAUGUCAAUAAAAUCAAAAUAAACACAUUGUGCACAAAGUCUCGUAUGUUUAGCUCAGUUGGUAGCUACCAGGGAUAAUUUGUGCAGGGGUCGAGGUUCAAACUCCAGAUUUUCACUUCUUCACACAUAAUGUGUGUGAAUCUAGCCACUAGACUACUUGACAAAAAAAAUGUAAGUAUAAAAAACAUAAAAACUUAUGUAUAUGCUGCAAAUGGUAUUCAUUAAAUUGAUGCCUUGAAUCAAAAGAUGCAUUCUUUUGUCAUUAUAUUCAAUACCUUGGGAAAUAUUUUAUCCAAAACUUGGAGAGCAUGCCUUGAAGUCCAAGCAGCAUAUCCCCUCAAAACUAUAUCAGCCUACAUCAAAUCAAUGUUGGGUGUAGGAUAAGCAAGAAGUCACUGACCAUUGCAUUAUAAUUAUCAUAAGAUAAAGACUCCCCUCCAAUCACUCCAACAAAUUUGUGAUAGUGAUAUAAGUUUUAAAAUGUCUAAUAUUUUCCAAUAUAUGUGAUCAUCUAAAAUCUCAUUUUUCAUAGGGAAUAUUUUAUAAGUGAAAAAUCUCAUACGAGUACAACUCAUGAAUUAAGAGUUUAUUCUAUAUGCUAUGACAUGGAUUCGAACAUACAUUUUCCCGCUUGGUGUGUGUGAUUUUUGCCACUAAACUCUUUUAUUUCGAAAAGGUAUCGAAAAAUCUAUAAUUAAAGGAAGAAAGAGUACCUUACGAGCAUACAAGUGAGUAAGAGUAGCUCCCCAACCUUGAUAGUAACUGUGUUGAACAAUUGAAGAACCAAACAACACAAAUUUAGGCCUCAUCAUUGUUCCUACACCGUGACAAUUGGGGUGUGGGGUUGAAGACUUAUACAGGUAGUUAUUAAAAACCAAAUAUUUUUUUUACAAAUAUUAAAAACAAAAUCUAUUAUCUUUAAUUAUUAUAGUUCAGAUUGAUAGGGUUAGUUAUCAUGAGUUGUCAAGCAAUACAAAAAUUUGCAACUUCUCCUUUGUGAAAUUAAAAUAAAGAAUGAUAUUAGAAGAUGGAUUUUUUAAAGGCUAAAAUAUGGUUUUGGUCCCUGCAAAUAUGUCUCGUUUUGGUUUUAGUCCCUGCAAAAAAAAUUUGUUGUUUUUGGUCCCUGCAAAUAUGUCUCAUUUUGGUUUUGGUCCCUGGGUCCACUUUUGUGAUAAUUUGCACACGUGUCACAUGAUGACUUAACCAUUUAUUAGAGAAAUAGUCCCUGCAAAAUCUUUUGAUUUUGAAAAAGGUCCCUGCAAAAUAUUUUGUUUUUGGAAAUAGUCCCUGCAGGGACUAUUUCCAAAAACAAAAUAUUUUGCAGGGACCAAAACAAAAUAUUUUGCAGGGACCAAAAACAACAAAAUUUUUUUGCAGGGACUAAAACCAAAAAGAGGCAUAUUUGCAGGGACCAAAACCAUAUUUUAGCCUUUUUUAAAUUUGCCGGCGAAGCGAGAAACACGAGGUGUAAUUCACACUCAUACGUCAUAACAGAAGGUUUAAAUUUAAGUGAAGGUGUGCAAGUUAGAUAUAUGCGGAGUAAUUUAGGAACACUCUCUUUUGAACACUCUUUGAUACUUAUUAUUUUUUUAUUGGUUUAAAUUAUUGUGUGUCUAUACUUAGAAAAUUGAACUCACACAAAGUAGUAGGACAUACAUUGAUUGCAUCAAAUGAAAGAGUGGGUGCGGAAGAGAGUGUUGAAAAGUGAGUGUUGUUAGCAUUAUUCUUGUUGGUUCUUUAAACCCGAAAGGGUCAAGUUACUUUAACCCGAAAGGGUUUGGUUACUAACUUGUUGUGUUCGGUGGUUCAUGUAUGCCUACACACUCGUUCCGAUGCUCGAAAGAGCUUACCACUUACCACUUUGUUCAGGGAGUUACCGUGUUGGCGGUCAAUCCAAUCGCCAUUUUUAAACCCUUACCGUUGCUUACACAUUUUCACUCUUCAUAUUUUUUUGUAACUUGGCUUCGCACCCGUAAACAGUUUUGCUAGGUUGCGUCUAUGAUUAUUGAAAUUGUGUUGAAUAGAUUAAGGUGGUCCUUUUAGUUUGUUUUAUCACGAUGUAUUCAUGUUUGGAUUAUUCUUAGGUCAGGUUUAAUGUCCCACAGUCUUUAUAUCUCGUUUUUUCUAUUUUAUAUUAUUUUCUUUAGCUUUUUUUUUUUUGAAGGAAUUAUUUUCUUUAGCUUAAAAAAUAAAACAAGAAAGUUAAAAGUUUCACUUUAUCAAAGUAAUUAGUGCUUCAUAGACUCUUUAUGUUAAAAUAUGGGACAGUUUUCUCCUUUCAAAUGAUCGUAACACACAAAACAAAACAAAACAAAAAUUACACUCAGUGCGUAUAAAUUAAUUUAUAAUAAUGUGAAAUACUUAAAUUUGACCCAAUUAUUUUGUAUUUAUUAAAAUUCAAAAUAGAAUAAAUAAAUAUCCAAUUUAAUCUCUGAGAAGAAAAAAAAAAUUGAAACUCAAGUUAGGAUCCGUUUGGAUUAGCUUAUUUUAGAGCUUAUAAAAAAAAAAAUCUUUUAUGUAUUAUUUACAAGUUUGUUAGGGUAUUUUAUGUAAAUUUAUAAGUUUGUUAAGAUAUUUUAUGAAAAAAAAGGAGCUUAUAAAUUAAAAUAAAAACAUUUAUUUACAUAAGUUUACUAUUCAUCAAGAAAUUUAAACCUAAACACGUUUUUUUAAUAAUGAACGUUGAACAUGUUAUUCACUACAUUUAACUUUUAUCACAACCAAUUUUGUUUUGCUUUAUAUUGUGCCUUUGCUAGUAGGUUUUUUUUAUUUUUUUUUGCAAGCUCAAGCUAUCAAGAGAUCAAUGACAGUUUUAGGAUUUUGGGAACAUUGUUGAUUUGAAAGGGAGGCAUGACAAAAGAGUCAAUUUGUCCUUUUGGCCUUCAAGAGCGAAACAGGCAACAAUUAACAACGUCAACUGGCAAGUAAGCAAUCUAAUGGUACAUCGAGACUUUAUCAAACUUUAUCGAUAUUUAUGAAGAAAAAAAUUGACGAAUCUUUGUGGAAUCAUUUUAUCAUGAAAUGAUCCAAAUCUAUAAAACAUUCACUAAAGACAUAAAACUCAUAAAAUGGUGAAAUAUUUUAAGCAAUUCACUCAAUCAUAUAUAGUCAGAGAGUUCACACUUGCAUGGUGAAAAACCUGGGAAAAGUGAUAUGGGAACUAAGAACAGCAUUUUUCUUUAAUUAGGCACAGUUCUGAAUUCCUGUUAUUCGUGAUUGUUUUCAAAUGAUUCAAAGAAUAGGGCAUGUCUUUAGCUCCCAAAUGCACAUCAGUCAUAUUCCAUGGUUUCCAUAAAGGUCAAGCUGGAAACAUUCAAGGUUUUUUCAUCUGGGCCAAGCGGAUCGUAAGGUGAAUCUUCUCCAAAUUCAUCUGGCAGUGACUUCCAGUGCAAGCAAGGUUCCCAAUCUGCUUCUUUGAGGAUAUUAAGUAUCUCUUUCACAACUAUCUU